RNAcentral lists this ribosomal RNA (746 nucleotides) under uncultured cyanobacterium. RNAcentral describes it as "bacterial SSU rRNA". It matches the Rfam family "Bacterial small subunit ribosomal RNA", at positions 1 to 795 of the family's 1533-position model. The record is from RNAcentral. Lineage: Bacteria; Bacillati; Cyanobacteriota.
GCUUAGAGUUUGAUCCUGGCUCAGGAUGAACGCUGGCGGCGUGCCUAACACAUGCAAGUCGAACGAAGUUUUCGAACUUAGUGGCGGACGGGUGAGUAACGCGUGAGGAUCUGGCCUUAGGUGGGGGAUAACAGUUGGAAACGGCUGCUAAUACCGCAUAUGGCGAGAGCUGAAAGAUUAAUUGCCUGAGGAUGAACUCGCGUCUGAUUAGCUAGUUGGUGGGGUAAGGGCCUACCAAGGCAACGAUCAGUAGCUGGUCUGAGAGGAUGAUCAGCCACACUGGGACUGAGACACGGCCCAGGCUCCUACGGGAGGCAGCAGUGGGGAAUUUUCCGCAAUGGGGGGAACCCUGACGGAGCAACGCCGCGUGCGGGAGGACGGCCUGUGGGUUGUAAACCGCUUUUCUCUGGGAAGAAGUUCUGACGGUACCCGAGGAAUCAGCAUCGGCUAACUCCGUGCCAGCAGCCGCGGUAAGACGGAGGAUGCAGGCGUUAUCCGGAAUUAUUGGGCGUAAAGCGUCCGUAGGCGGUUUAUCAAGUCAGUUGUUAAAGACUGCAGCUCAACUGUGGGAGAGCAACUGAAACUGAUGAACUAGAGUGCGGUAGGGGUAGAGGGAAUUCCCAGUGUAGCGGUGAAAUGCGUAGAUAUUGGGAAGAACACCAGUGGCGAAGGCGCUCUACUGGGCCGCAACUGACGCUGAGGGACGAAAGCUAGGGGAGCGAAAGGGAUUAGAUACCCCUGUAGUC